GUGUCGUAUGAAAGAGAAAAGGUUAGCACUCCCCUUGACAAGGAUGAAAGAGUCCCUCGGGCCUGACAAUUCGCAUCUAACCAUCGUGGGGUUGUUUU
RNAcentral lists this non-coding RNA (98 nucleotides) under Vicugna pacos (alpaca). The record is from RNAcentral. Lineage: Eukaryota; Metazoa; Chordata; Mammalia; Artiodactyla; Camelidae.